UUUCUCUUCCUUCGUCCCUCUCUGACCCCUCUCUCUGCUCUUUCUCUCUCUCAAUCCAACCUCACCACACCCUCAUCAUUUUCAUCACGUCCGUCUAUCUCUCUUUGUCGUGGCCAACACCUAACCAACCGUCAUAAUCUUUGGCCGCGACGAAUUUGAACUCCAUGUUAUCUUUCUCUCUGUCUAUCAUGACCGUCGUCGUCGAAAGAUUUGUAGUUUUGUGCACGUCAUCAGAUCUGGUCGGUGGGUGAACGAUAUAGAGGAUCAAACCGGAGAUUGAGGUGGUGGUGGAAGUCUUCGGAACAGUGAAAGAGAGUGGAAACAUAGUAAGAGACAGUGUAGGUGAACGUUGGAACAAUGAACACGGCGAGAGAGAAAGAAAACAUGGAGAGAGAGAGAGAGAGAAGGGAAGAGCACGUGAGUGAGAAACAGAGAAAGAGAAGCUAGUUAAGUCAGAAAAAAAAAUUAAAGGUGUGUAAUUUUACUAAAAUAUCCCUACCAUAUAGGAUAAUACAAGGAUGGUACAAAUAAAAGUGUGUCAUCCUAUAUCUCCCCAUAUUUUAUAGUGCAAAGUAAGAGCAUGUAUACAUACAGCACAACACCUUAAUUAACAAGAUUAACAAAAAAAAAAAAAAAGCAUAACACCUUCUAUUUGAAUACUUAAGUGAAC
This 670-nucleotide long non-coding RNA is filed under the name Medicago truncatula (barrel medic). RNAcentral describes it as "lncRNA gene50167". The record is from RNAcentral. Lineage: Eukaryota; Viridiplantae; Streptophyta; Magnoliopsida; Fabales; Fabaceae.